UUCAAAUACUGGUUCCCAUACAACCACCGAAGUUAAGCAACACCAAGCUGGGUCAGUACCUAGAUGGUGACCACUUGGGAAUAACAGGUGGUGUAAG
Non-coding RNA from Acanthosepion pharaonis, 97 nucleotides. NCBI's taxonomy places the organism in Eukaryota, Metazoa, Mollusca, Cephalopoda, Sepiida, Sepiidae. The record is from the annotation of a GenBank genome assembly.